RNAcentral lists this ribosomal RNA (237 nucleotides) under uncultured bacterium. RNAcentral describes it as "partial 16S ribosomal RNA". It matches the Rfam family "Bacterial small subunit ribosomal RNA", at positions 116 to 356 of the family's 1533-position model. The record is from RNAcentral.
UUUGGGAAACUGCCUGAUGGAGGGGGAUGACUACUGGAAACGGUAGCUAAUACCGCAUAACGUCGCAAGACCAAAGAGGGGGACCUUCGGGCCUCUUGCCAUCAGAUGUGCCCAGAUGGGAUUAGCUAGUAGGUGGGGUAACGGCUCACCUAGGCGACGAUCCCUAGCUGGUCUGAGAGGAUGACCAGCCACACUGGAACUGAGACACGGUCCAGACUCCUACGGGAGGCAGCAAUG